RNAcentral lists this ribosomal RNA (286 nucleotides) under Blastocystis sp. RNAcentral's name for it is "partial small subunit ribosomal RNA". It matches the Rfam family "Eukaryotic small subunit ribosomal RNA", at positions 42 to 348 of the family's 1831-position model. Lineage: Eukaryota; Bigyra; Opalinata; Blastocystidae. The record is from RNAcentral.
GAUUAAGCCAUGCAUGUGUAAGUAUAAAUAGUUAACUUUGAAACUGCGAAUGGCUCAGUAUAUCAGUUAUAGUUUAUUUGAUGAAGAAUACUAAUUGGAUAACCGUAGUAAUUCUAGAGCUAAUACAUGUAUAAAGUCUUGUAGACUGCAUUUAUUAGAAUGAAAACCAUAGGUUUCGGCCUAUUCGUGAGUAAUAAUAACUAAUCAUAUCGUAUGCUUAUGUAACGAUGUGUCUUUCAAGUUUCUGCCCUAUCAGCUUUCGAUGGUAGUGUAUUGGACUACCAUG